AAAUCAAAUCAAAUGAACAUCCUCAAUCAGUCAAAGUUGAAGUCAAUGUUAAAAAAAUGAUAAUUUAAAUUGGAAAAAAGUGAAAAUCAAACCAGAAAGGACAUCAUUUUAUGCUUACAAAAAAACACCGGAAAAUUAAAUUAUCCUGAAAGAGAGUAGAGAAAUCAUAUCAACCUACAAUAAUAAAGUACUUUAACAUUUGUGCACUACACUUUCAGGCAAAACCGACCUUUAAAGUAAAUUAAACCUGCCCCCAAAACAGAAAAAAAUCGAGGAAAAAAACGGAUGAAAGGAAGAAGUAAUUUUAGAACUGAGAAGGAAAAUGAUUAAUUACACUGCAAAAUGAAAAAACCGGUGAAUUCUGGAGAAGUAGAAGAAGUAGAAGAAGUACGACGGCAUAAAUUAAUGAAGAAAGUUUUAUUAAAAACACGAAGUUGAAAUUAAAAACAAUUCACGCAAACCUAAUGGCAGAAGACAGGAACAGAAUAUCGUAGCUUAUGAAUACACAACACAAGAAACUCACGGAAGAUAUGGAACACAAUGGGAGUACACCUUCGUAUUCCAUUGACCAUGGAUUUGUGCUUUCUCUAUUACGAACAUAAUGAGUUGAAAACAAAGUUAACGUUUAUUUUGAUAUCAACCUGAAAAAAUUCCACAGAUAAGAAAAACUGAAAAAGCAAGCGAAUACGCUGAUACCUUGUUUAGCCUGCUAUUCUUCUGCGAGUAUCUCAACUUCAUGCAGAAAAUCUUUGAAAAUGAAUAUUGUAGGAACAGAGAAGUGAAAAACAAAAAUCAGAAACAAGAAAACAGAAGACAGAAGACAAAACUAACGAAAGCAAAACAAAACCGAAAAUUUAAACAAUGAACACACUUCAUCGGAUAGAUACAUUCGAAAAGUUUUAGGGUACCGAUUGUGGCGCAAAGGGUACAACUUUGGCUAGUACCCUGGCUAGUGCACAUACCGAAUGGUUACAUAUUAUCGGAACGGUCACUGAUAACAGUUUUUGUUAUUUCAUUUUUUAUUAAUAAUGAAAACAGUAAAUGACGCAAAGUAAACAAACUUUUACGAUGUGCCCGUAACGAUAGAAGUUGGUAUUUGUGUGUGAAGUAUUCGUAAAAUAACAUAGAUACGCAAAUAGGUAUGUGUUUGACUAUGGCUUUGUGUGUUUUUGAUAUGAAAAGUGGAGCGGAAUGUUGUCAUUUCGAAAUAGUGAUUAAUCUUGCCUACAUAUCUGUAUUUGUACGAUUUUAUAGAUAUUUGGUAAUGGGGCUCCCUAGUAUUGACCUUGGUCACCUGUCGCUUUAGCAUUGAUUAGUCCUAUUUUCAUUUGUGAAUUUCAUUUUCAGCACAUCGAUAAAUAGUCAGUCAUACAGUCACUCUUUCUACUUCUGCGAUUGUAGUACUUAUCAAAAUGUUACCCUUAUUAAGCCAGUUA
Molecule: long non-coding RNA, 1436 nt
Organism: Teleopsis dalmanni
Lineage: Eukaryota; Metazoa; Arthropoda; Insecta; Diptera; Diopsidae
Exons: 3
Source: RefSeq, a predicted model, not a curated record